CGCAGCCUACGGGGGGCAGCAGUAGGGAAUCUUCCACAAUGGACGAAAGUCUGAUGGAGCAACGCCGCGUGAGUGAAGAAGGGUUUCGGCUCGUAAAGCUCUGUUGGGAGUGAAGAAAGAUAGAGGUAGUAACUGGCCUUUAUUUGACGGUAAUUACUUAGAGAGUCACGGCUAACUACGUGCCAGCAGCCGCGGUAAUACGUAGGUGGCAAGCGUUGUCCGGAUUUAUUGGGCGUAAAGCGAGUGCAGGCGGGUCAAUAAAGAUGAU
This 268-nucleotide ribosomal RNA is filed under the name uncultured bacterium. RNAcentral's name for it is "partial 16S ribosomal RNA". It matches the Rfam family "Bacterial small subunit ribosomal RNA", at positions 332 to 593 of the family's 1533-position model. The record is from RNAcentral.